This 254-nucleotide ribosomal RNA is filed under the name uncultured bacterium. RNAcentral describes it as "partial 16S ribosomal RNA". It matches the Rfam family "Bacterial small subunit ribosomal RNA", at positions 524 to 776 of the family's 1533-position model. The record is from RNAcentral.
UACGUAGGGUGCGAGCGUUAAUCGGAAUUACUGGGCGUAAAGAGUGCGUAGGCGGUUUCUCAAGUCCGCUGUGAAAUCCCCGGGCUCAACCUGGGAAUGGCAGUGGAAACUAGGAGACUUGAAUCUGGCAGAGGGGGGUGGAAUUCCACGUGUAGCAGUGAAAUGCGUAGAGAUGUGGAGGAACACCGAUGGCGAAGGCAGCCCCCCUGGGCUGAGAUUGACGCUCAGGCACGAAAGCGUGGGGAGCAAACAGG